This 247-nucleotide ribosomal RNA is filed under the name uncultured Prevotella sp. RNAcentral's name for it is "partial 16S ribosomal RNA". It matches the Rfam family "Bacterial small subunit ribosomal RNA", at positions 107 to 356 of the family's 1533-position model. Lineage: Bacteria; Pseudomonadati; Bacteroidota; Bacteroidia; Bacteroidales; Prevotellaceae. The record is from RNAcentral.
UGAGUAACGCGUAUCCAACUUCCCAUUACUGUGGGAUAACCUGCCGAAAGGCAGACUAAUACCGCAUAGUCUUCGAUGACGGCAUCAGAUUUGAAGUAAAGAUUUAUCGGUAAUGGAUGGGGAUGCGUCUGAUUAGCUUGUUGGCGGGUAACGGCCCACCAAGGCGAUGAUAGGUAGCCGGCCUGAGAGGGUGGACGGCCACAAGGGGACUGAGAUACGGCCCUUACUCCUACGGGAGGCAGCAGCG